GACGAACGCUGGCGGCGUGCUUAACACAUGCAAGUCGAACGGAAAGGCCUGCUUUCCCUUGUGGAUUGCGGGUACUCGAGUGGCUAACGGGUGAGUAACACGUGAGUGAUCUGCCCCCACCUUGGGUAUAAGCCUGGGAAACUGGGUCUAAUUUCCGAUAGGACUGCAGGGUGGUGCCUGUGGUGGAAAACGAUUUUCUAGUGGUUGGGGAUGAGCUCGCGGCCUAUGAGCUUGUUGGUGGGGUAAUGGCCUACCAAGGCGGCGACGGGUAGCCGGCCUGAGAGGGUGGACGGCGACAUUGGGACUGAGACACGGCCCAGACUCCUACGGGAGGCAGCAGUGGGGAAUAUUGCACAAUGGGCGGAAGCCUGAUGCAGCGACGCCGCGUGGGGGAUGACGGCCUUCGGGUUGUAAACUCCUUGCGACCGCGAGGAAGCCACCUGGUUGGAAGGGUGGUGACGGUAGUGGUAGAAGAAGCACCGGCUAACUACGUG
This 494-nucleotide ribosomal RNA is filed under the name uncultured bacterium. RNAcentral's name for it is "partial 16S ribosomal RNA". It matches the Rfam family "Bacterial small subunit ribosomal RNA", at positions 28 to 507 of the family's 1533-position model. The record is from RNAcentral.